UACGUAGGGUGCGAGCGUUGUCCGGAAUUAUUGGGCGUAAAGGGCUCGUAGGCGGUUUGUCACGUCGGGAGUGAAAACUCGAGGCUCAACCUCGAGACGCCGGUUGAAACCAUCUGACUAGAGUCCGGAAGAGGAGAGUGGAAUUCCUGGUGUAGCGGUGAAAUGCGCAGAUAUCAGGAAGAACACCCGUGGCUAAGGCGGCUCUCUAGUACGGUACUGACGCUGAGACGCGAAAGCGUGGGGAGCGAACAGG
This 253-nucleotide ribosomal RNA is filed under the name uncultured bacterium. Its description in RNAcentral is "partial 16S ribosomal RNA". It matches the Rfam family "Bacterial small subunit ribosomal RNA", at positions 524 to 776 of the family's 1533-position model. The record is from RNAcentral.